GACGAACGCUGGCGGCGUGCCUAAUACAUGCAAGUAGAACGCUGAAAGAGGAGCUUGCUUCUCUGGAUGAGUUGCGAAGGGGUGAGUAACGCGUAGGUAACCUGCCUGGUAGCGGCGGAGAACUAUUGGAAACGAUAGCUAAUACCGCAUAAGAGUAGAUGUUGCAUGACAUUUGCUUAAAAUGUGCACUUGCAUCACUACCAGAUGGACCUGCGUUGUAUUAGCUAGUUGGUGGGGUAACGGCUCACCAACGCGACGAUACAUAGCCGGCCCGAGAGGGUGGAUGGGCACACUGGGAACGGGACACCGCCCAGGCUCCCACGGGGGGGAGCAGUAGGGGAUCUUUGGCAAUGGACGGAAGUCUGACCGAGGAAAGCCGGGGGAGGUAAGGAGGGUUUCCGGUCGUAAAACUCUGUUGUAAGGGAAGGACGAGUGGGAGAGUGGAAAGUGCACGCUGUGACGGUACCUAACCAGAAAGAGACGGCUAACUACGUG
RNAcentral lists this ribosomal RNA (495 nucleotides) under uncultured bacterium. RNAcentral describes it as "partial 16S ribosomal RNA". It matches the Rfam family "Bacterial small subunit ribosomal RNA", at positions 28 to 507 of the family's 1533-position model. The record is from RNAcentral.